AUAAUCUAAUAAUAAUGAAGUCAUGCAUAACACCUUUUGACCAAAGUGCUGUACAGUUCCUCCAAAUAUAAAUAAAUGAAUGAAUGAAUUGCAAAAACACCAUAAAUUAUCAAUAAAAUCAACAAUAGGUUUAGACAAUAAAACAUCAACACUAGAGUAAAGGUAAAAUACAAAUAAAAGCUAUAAAAGACAUGUCUGUCUCAACUUGAGGUGAAAGCAAGCGAAAAGAGGUAGGUUUUUAAAAGAGAUUUAAAGUGUUCCAAAGUAGCAUCAUAACUCUGAUUAUCUCACUUGCAGCAGGUUGGACUUUUCUUCCUCAGAGAAGAAGCACGAUGUGACAUAUGUUGAAGAAUGGAUCAAAUCUUUGGACGAUCAGCCGGACGAUCUUAUUGGUCCAGACANUGC
Long non-coding RNA from Epinephelus moara (kelp grouper), 405 nucleotides. RefSeq lists it as uncharacterized. The record is from RefSeq and is a predicted model, not a curated record. Lineage: Eukaryota; Metazoa; Chordata; Actinopteri; Perciformes; Serranidae. The transcript is spliced from 3 exons.